CGCCUUAUACUCCUACGGGAGGCAGCAGUGGGGAAUCUUGCGCAAUGGGCGAAAGCCUGACGCAGCCAUGCCGCGUGAAUGAUGAAGGUCUUAGGAUUGUAAAAUUCUUUCACCGGGGACGAUAAUGACGGUACCCGGAGAAAAAGCCCCGGCUAACUUCGUGCCAGCAGCCGCGGUAAUACGAAGGGGGCUAGCGUUGCUCGGAAUUACUGGGCGUAAAGGGCGCGUAGGCGGAUCGUUAAGUCAGAGGUGAAAUCCCAAGGCUCAACCCUGGAACUGCCUUUGAUACUGGCGAUCUUGAGUAUGAGAGAGGUAUGUGGAACUCCGAGUGUAGAAGUGAAAUUCGUAGAUAUUCGGAAGAACACCAGUGGCGAAGGCGACAUACUGGCUCAUUACUGACGCUGAGGCGCGAAAGCGUGGGGAGCAAACAGGAUUAGAUACCCUAGUAGUCCACGUACCA
Molecule: ribosomal RNA, 460 nt
Filed under: uncultured bacterium
Lineage: Bacteria
Description: bacterial SSU rRNA
Rfam family: Bacterial small subunit ribosomal RNA
Source: RNAcentral